UGGGGAAUAUUGCACAAUGGGCGCAAGCCUGAUGCAGCCAUGCCGCGUGUGUGAAGAAGGCCUUCGGGUUGUAAAGUACUUUCAGCGGGGAGGAAGGGAGUAAAGUUAAUACCUUUGCUCAUUGACGUUACCCGCAGAAGAAGCACCGGCUAACUCCGUGCCAGCAGCCGCGGUAAUACGGAGGGUGCAAGCGUUAAUCGGAAUUACUGGGCGUAAAGCGCACGCAGGCGGUUUGUUAAGUCAGAUGUGAAAUCCCCGGGCUCAACCUGGGAACUGCAUCUGAUACUGGCAAGCUUGAGUCCCGUAGAGGGGGGUAGAAUUCCAGGUGUAGCGGUGAAAUGCGUAGAGAUCUGGAGGAAUACCGGUGGCGAAGGCGGCCCCCUGGACGAAGACUGACGCUCAGGUGCGAAAGCGUGGGGAGCAAACAGG
RNAcentral lists this ribosomal RNA (429 nucleotides) under Chloroflexota bacterium. RNAcentral's name for it is "Chloroflexi bacterium partial 16S ribosomal RNA". It matches the Rfam family "Bacterial small subunit ribosomal RNA", at positions 355 to 776 of the family's 1533-position model. Lineage: Bacteria; Bacillati; Chloroflexota. The record is from RNAcentral.